GUCAGGAAAUAGGAGGUCAUGGGUUUGGUACAUUGCCACAGAAUAGGGUUCAUUUAAAUCGACUUUCUUUUAUCCUAUAACUAAACUCCUGCACGGCCGAAGACCUUCCACGGAACAAUACAGGCCUUCGCCGACACCGAAUGGCACUCGUUUCCGACAGAUGGCCGGGAUGAGGGGUGCAGAAGGCCAUCAGCAGCACAUCGAGCUGAAACAACCACCUCUGAACAAAAUGACGAGACGUCCCGUUAUCUCGUUCGCUAGCGGCUGUAAACGAGGCGUCACCGAGGCCGCAGCUCGUUUCCACCAUCAAACUUCCCCUCCGCCCUCUAAAAAAGUCCAUUUGACGCCCGCCGGUUUGCUGCCAUGACAACAGAGUGCCGACAAAAGGGGGAAAACUACAUGCCACAACUUCUCUCCCUCUCAACAGCUGUGAGGUGGUGAAAACAAAUCGACCGUUUCGAUGAUGGCGAAGUGGAAAGAAGUGGCCUCCUGAAGCGUGCGUGCAUGUGUGUGUGUGUGUGUGUGUGUGUGUGUCUUUGCUGCUCAUAAAAAGAACUGGAUUAAACCAACAGUAACUCUCACCUGGACAACCUGAAAACUGCACGCAGGUGUGCAAGCAACCCCCUCCGACAACGAUUUCCAUGACGAUAAUUCCCAGAAAUCUAAAUAAUGAGCCCGUUCACAGCUGA
Cyclopterus lumpus (lumpfish) is the source of this 689-nucleotide long non-coding RNA. RefSeq lists it as uncharacterized. NCBI's taxonomy places the organism in Eukaryota, Metazoa, Chordata, Actinopteri, Perciformes, Cyclopteridae. The record is from RefSeq and is a predicted model, not a curated record. The transcript has 3 exons.